Molecule: long non-coding RNA, 809 nt
Organism: Eptesicus fuscus (big brown bat)
Lineage: Eukaryota; Metazoa; Chordata; Mammalia; Chiroptera; Vespertilionidae
Exons: 3
Source: RefSeq, a predicted model, not a curated record
CACAGAAGUGAAAAGAACCUGGAAAAAGUAAGUGAGCACUGUACCCAGCAGAAGCCACAAUUCCAAUGCCUCCAACUACUUUAAAAAGGAAUGAAGAUGCAGGAUGUUGAGCGUUGGCUUUGAAGUGGGGAUAACGGUACUUGCUACCUUCGGAAUUGCUGCUCCAGAGAGCAAAUAAAAUCAAUUCUCUAACAAGAAAAAGAAGCAAAUGACUAUGAGUGGGGUGUGCUUUCUUUUAUCGCUGCUUCAAAAGUACAGAAGAAUGGUCGUUCUGGAUGGAAUUGCUAAUUUUAUACCCUGUUCUUAGCAAAUUCUGCACCACUGCAGGCUGAGGAGGAAGGCUGGUGGGCAGCACACUGAGCCCCUUUUCUUCGGAGACCCCAGGAGAUGAAUUAACAUGACUGUCACCACCCCACAGUAAUAACAACUUGGCCACCCACACCCUGUCCAUAUAUAACUUGACACAGGGCUCAAUCUCCCCACCUUGUUCUUACCAAUCCCAAGCAAGUGAAAUAAAAGGCUUGCUAGAAAUGUGUGAGCUUACUAUUAGCUUGCCAGGCUGCUGAUGGCAUUAGCUUUUCCGAGAAAGGAAGCAAAUUGGAAAGUGCCUUUUGAUUUUUAAAAGAAAUGAACAAUUAUUGUCUUUUUAUAAAAUGUGACCAAACAAUUUUUCCUUAAAUCUUACAAAGACCAACAUUCAACCAGGACUUUUGCCAUUUCAGAUCAUUCUCAAACUCUGGCCAAUUGCAAAGGAAUGUGGUGCUUGGUUUUUAAAGCAUUGCUGAAAUGUUUCUUCAACAUCAAUACCU